RNAcentral lists this ribosomal RNA (230 nucleotides) under uncultured bacterium. Its description in RNAcentral is "partial 16S ribosomal RNA". It matches the Rfam family "Bacterial small subunit ribosomal RNA", at positions 104 to 334 of the family's 1533-position model. The record is from RNAcentral.
CGGGGUAGAGUAAUGCUUGGGAAUCUGGCUUAUGGAGGGGGAUAACUACGGGAAACUGUAGCUAAUACCGCGUAGUGUCGAGAGACGAAAGUGCGGGACCGAAAGGCCGCAUGCCAUGAGAUGAGCCCAAGUGGGAUUAGGUAGUUGGUGGGGUAAAGGCCUACCAAGCCUGCGAUCUCUAGCUGGUCUGAGAGGAUGGCCAGCCACACUGGAACUGAGACACGGUCCAG